RNAcentral lists this ribosomal RNA (453 nucleotides) under uncultured bacterium. Its description in RNAcentral is "bacterial SSU rRNA". It matches the Rfam family "Bacterial small subunit ribosomal RNA", at positions 353 to 803 of the family's 1533-position model. The record is from RNAcentral.
AGUGAGGAAUAUUGGUCAAUGGCCGGAAGGCUGAACCAGCCAUGCCGCGUGAAGGUCAGUGCCCUAUGGGCGUUAAACUUCUUUUGUGCGGGAGCAAUAAGGGCCACGCGUGGCCUGACGAGAGUACCGUACGAAUAAGCAUCGGCUAACUCCGUGCCAGCAGCCGCGGUAAUACGGGGGAUGCAAGCGUUAUCCGGAUUUAUUGGGUUUAAAGGGUGCGUAGGCUGUGAGGUAAGUCAGCGGUGAAAUGCCCCCGCUCAACGGGGUGAAGUGCCAUUGAUACUGCCUUGCUGGAAUGCGGAUGCCGUGGGAGGAAUGUGUGGUGUAGCGGUGAAAUGCAUAGAUAUCACACAGAACACCGAUUGCGAAGGCAUCUCACGAAUCCGCGAUUGACGCUGAUGCACGAAAGCGUGGGUAUCAAACAGGAUUAGAUACCCUGGUAGUCCACGCUGU